CUGCCUCGCACUCUGGGAUAAGCCUGGGAAACUGGGUCUAAUACCGGAUAUGACCACUGAUCGCAUGGUUGGUGGUGGAAAGAUUUAUCGGUGCGAGAUGGGCCCGCGGCCUAUCAGCUUGUUGGUGGGGUAAUGGCCUACCAAGGCGACGACGGGUAGCCGGCCUGAGAGGGCGAUCGGCCACACUGGGACUGAGACACGGCCCAGACUCCUACGGGAGGCAGCAGUGGGGAAUAUUGCACAAUGGGCGGAAGCCUGAUGCAGCGACGCCGCGUGAGGGAUGACGGCCUUCGGGUUGUAAACCUCUUUCGACAGGGACGAAGCGUGAGUGACGGUACCUGUAGAAGAAGCACCGGCCAACUACGUG
This 367-nucleotide ribosomal RNA is filed under the name uncultured bacterium. RNAcentral's name for it is "bacterial SSU rRNA". It matches the Rfam family "Bacterial small subunit ribosomal RNA", at positions 126 to 507 of the family's 1533-position model. The record is from RNAcentral.